RNAcentral lists this ribosomal RNA (241 nucleotides) under uncultured bacterium. RNAcentral describes it as "partial 16S ribosomal RNA". It matches the Rfam family "Bacterial small subunit ribosomal RNA", at positions 94 to 334 of the family's 1533-position model. The record is from RNAcentral.
AGCGGCGGACGGGUGAGUAACGCGUGGGUAACCUGCCUCGAUACAGGGGAGUAACAGUUGGAAACGGCUGCUAAUACCGCAUAAGCGCACAGUACCGCAUGGUACCGUGUGAAAAACUCCGGUGGUAUGAGAUGGACCCGCGUCUGAUUAGCUAGUUGGUGGGGUAACGGCCUACCAAGGCGACGAUCAGUAGCCGACCUGAGAGGGUGACCGGCCACAUUGGGACUGAGACACGGCCCAA